GACGAACGCUGGCGGCGUGCUUAACACAUGCAAGUCGAACGGAAAGGCCCUGCUUUUGUGGGGUGCUCGAGUGGCGAACGGGUGAGUAACACGUGAGUAACCUGCCCUUGACUUUGGGAUAACUUCAGGAAACUGGGGCUAAUACCGGAUAGGAGCUCCUGCUGCAUGGUGGGGGUUGGAAAGUUUCGGCGGUUGGGGAUGGACUCGCGGCUUAUCAGCUUGUUGGUGGGGUAGUGGCUUACCAAGGCUUUGACGGGUAGCCGGCCUGAGAGGGUGACCGGCCACAAUGGGACUUGGAUACGGCCCCGGCUCCUUCGGGAGGCAGGAGGGGGGAAUUAUGCCCCAUGGGGCGAAGCCUGAUGGCGCAACGCCGGGGGCGGGAUGACGGCCUUCGGGUUGUAAACCGCUUUCGCCUGUGACGAAGCGUGAGUGACGGUAAUGGGUAAAGAAGCACCGGCUAACUACGUG
This 468-nucleotide ribosomal RNA is filed under the name uncultured bacterium. Its description in RNAcentral is "partial 16S ribosomal RNA". It matches the Rfam family "Bacterial small subunit ribosomal RNA", at positions 28 to 507 of the family's 1533-position model. The record is from RNAcentral.